This 253-nucleotide ribosomal RNA is filed under the name uncultured bacterium. RNAcentral describes it as "partial 16S ribosomal RNA". It matches the Rfam family "Bacterial small subunit ribosomal RNA", at positions 524 to 776 of the family's 1533-position model. The record is from RNAcentral.
UACAGAGGUCUCAAGCGUUGUUCGGAUUCAUUGGGCGUAAAGGGUGCGUAGGCGGCGCGGUAAGUCGGGUGUGAAAUCUCGGAGCUUAACUUCGAAACUGCAUUCGAUACUGCCGUGCUUGAGGACUGGAGAGGAGACUGGAAUUUACGGUGUAGCGGUGAAAUGCGUAGAUAUCGUAAGGAAGACCAGUGGCGAAGGCGGGUCUCUGGACAGUUCCUGACGCUGAGGCACGAAGGCCAGGGGAGCGAACGGG